GGGAAUAUAGCUCAGUGGUAGAGCACUUGCCUAACAUGCAUAGAGUCCUGAGUUCAGUCCCCAGUACUGCUG
Molecule: transfer RNA, 72 nt
Filed under: Ictidomys tridecemlineatus (thirteen-lined ground squirrel)
Lineage: Eukaryota; Metazoa; Chordata; Mammalia; Rodentia; Sciuridae
Description: Spermophilus tridecemlineatus (thirteen-lined ground squirrel) tRNA
Rfam family: tRNA
About the family: Transfer RNA (tRNA) molecules are approximately 80 nucleotides in length. Their secondary structure includes four short double-helical elements and three loops (D, anti-codon, and T loops).
Source: Rfam by way of RNAcentral